CGGCGCCCGCGCCCGCGAGCUCCUCGAGCCGCGCCGCCGCACGCUGCCCGUUACCCACCGCCGGACCCCGCCUCCCGCCGUCCGCGUCGCGCCCGCAACUGCGUGUCGUUGCUGCCUGUGCUCUGCCUCGCGGCCUCCUCGACUCCUCGAGCCGGAGCUCGCUUCCGCCGGUGGCCAGCAGCAGCACCACCAGCAGGUCCCGCGUCGCUCGCGCCCCUUCUUCCUCAGCCCUGCCCGAGCUCGCGCCCAACCGAGGCCAGCCAACCCCGCCGCCAGAGGCCACCAUCGCCACCGCAGAUGAGCGCCGCCCCACUCCUUUCUCACCUCUCCCUCCGGUUCCCCCUGCUCAUCUCCCUCCCUGGUUUCUUCUCUACAGGAGCGCCAUGGUCGCUGAUCCCAUGCCCGAGGCCUCCUCAUCGCCGUCGUCGUCUGCUUCGUCUCCCGCCGCUGCAUGCCUGGACUCCACCGCUCGCACCUCCGCCCGUGCCCAAUCUCUGCUAAACUCCUCGCCCUUGCUGUCGUUGCUCUGUUCGUCGAGAAAGAGCGAGCGGGAUACCCUUUCCGCCUCCGUGUCCUUGUCAAACUCCUGCUCCCGUGUCCUUCUCAAACAAAGAAACCGUACCGACCAGGAUUUGUAGUUCGAUGCUAUAUAUUGAAUUGUUCUCUGCCGGAAUCCAGAACCAGGCCAGCGCCACCAGCGAGCAGUGCACCGUUGAAUUGUUCUCUGCCGGAAUCGUGAAUCAGGCCAGCGCCACCAGCGAGCAUUGCACCGUCGCUUGGGAUAUGAUACAGAUAUAAUUCUUCCCUUGCUUCUCCUGUUUCCUGUGGUAUAAUGUUGCAAUUCAACUGCUACUAUGUGAUCUUGCAAUUGUCGUAGUUAUGUUUCCUGCCGUAUAAUGUUGCCGUAUUAAUAGCUGCUCAAUCGGUUUUUGAUCAUGCUGUGAACAUUGGUGUGUUUAUGUGUCCUUGCUAGAAGUCUUAGCAAAAGUGACGAAGUGAUUGACUGAUUAUGAGCAGACUAAUAUCGACUGUACAUGUAUCAAUACAAAAAAAACAGAAAUUGAGAGCAGGGUUAUGGAUAGAGUUCUAGAGAUUUAGGAGCUCCUCGCUCCACACCUACAUUCAGAAACAACAGUUUUGAUGAAUCUGUCCUUCUACUUGUGUUGGACCUUUAGAUGCUACAUCAGAUAUUUAACAACUGCAGAUUCAAUGAGCAAUCAAGCAAAUCACGUUUCUCUUGUGAAAGAUGUGAAAUACUUGACCAGCUUGUUCCUUUGUUCCUUUGUUCCUUUGAUCAAGUUUCUUAUCUGGGUUUCAUUGAUUCAAAUAUUGGAGAAAUUUGUAUGCUAUUUGCUGAUGCCUGUGUUACUAUGUUACUACCUCUGAUCCCCAAUUUGAGCAAAACUUCAAUGCUUAUUUUGGCCUGAUUUGUAUGCUAUUUGCUGAUGCCUGACUAUGAUUUUUGGUUGUCGCUCUAUUACAGUGCAGUAAUAUAUAAUUUGGUCUGUUUGUGUUGUUGUGUUACUACCUCUGAUCCCUAAUUUGACCGCGGAUGCUGCUGCUACACCCGCACCACCAGCCCAAGGUCAGUCUCCUUCACCUUGCUCUAUAGCGCAACUCCCGCCUAACACCAUGUUGGCUUACUUCUGCCCCUCUGGUUUGGAGAGUGUGCACUCUCAGCUCUGCUGGGCCGGUCGUGCUCUCUUGCUGGUUCUUACCUGCAGCUCCAACAUGAAAGCCUACAAAUCGACUCUUGAGAUUUGUCUUCAAAAUAGGAUUUUUUUUUUACUAUUACAUACUCUACUGAAGUUACAUGAUGUGCAGUUUAGAAAGUUGAUUACUGGGGGACUUUUACUACAUGUCCAAUUAUGGUUUCAUGAUAAAAGGAUCAUGCACCAAACGUUUGUUGAAUUGCUGCUUCAAGAAAAUGUAUGGAGUUUUCAUUGCGUGCUUCAAGUCAUUAACCAGAAUAAUUUGAUGAACCACCAUGUCGCCCUUCCGCUUGGUUCCAUGGGAAAGCAAUUUACAAAGCUCCAGUUGGUCAAUACAGCCUUGAUUCCAUGUUUUCUACCACUGCUUAACUUUAUUUGAGAAACUGUUGUUGUUAUGUAUGCAGGAUAGAGUAUAGAGUUGUAUGCAGGAUAUAGUACUAGCGUUGGAAUUUCAGGGCAUCCAAAAAGAACUUAGUAUGCUUCAACCCAUGUUUUCUACCAUUGCUUACCUUUAUUUGAAAAAUUGUUGUUGCUAUGUAUGCAAGAUACAAUACUAGAGUUGGAAUAUCAGGGCAUCCAAAAAGAAUUUACUAUGCUUCAGGUAAGAAAGUUAAUUUGUUUGACUUUUGUAGGGACUAAAUUACUAGCUUAAUGCAUGGAACUUAUUGAGCUGCAGUCAUGGCAUGUGCUUACAUAGAGACCUUCGUUCUGUGGAUAUACCUCUUCUUAUAGGACAGCAUGUGCGUGAUGCAUUGCUCCCCUUAGUUUUCGGAGGAACAUGGUGCUAUUCCUGGUGCUUUUGGUUAUGAAAAAACUGACAUUAGUCAGGAACUUUCUAAGGUGAUCACUUUACUGCUCUGUUCUCAUCGUACCAUUUCUACACAGUUUACUGAGUUUAAAAAUCCAUGCAAUACUCUAAUUCUGAAGCUUUGGUUUAUGUGAGAUGUGGCUGAAAGAAGAAAUGAGAUAGCCGAGAUUCUAAUGGAUUUCCCCCAAUCGACAAUGAUAUUUCAUGACAUGAUGUGAAAAGUGGAGCCGCUUAAAGUACAUGGCGAGCUCACCAUGGCCGCCUUUCUUCCAACAGAUUGGGAACCGCCGACCGCGACCCAUGGUGUGUAGAUGAUACACCGGUGAGGCGUUCCAAGGACGAAGAGGAUCUCACGAUUUUCGGGGAUGAGGAGGAUCUUGCGAUUUCCAGAUUUCAAGUGUCUACACACUAUAUGUAGUAAGUUUUUUAGAGAAGUAGUCAAAUUAAAUCUGGAUACCAAUUUAUUGGAACAUUAUAUUUCUUACAGAAGUAGUCAAACAAUGAUAUCAAUUUGUUGGAACCAUCAAGGAGGUGACACUCCUGGAGGGUAUAUAUUCUCCAUCUUAUGCCUAUUUGAAAUACGGUUAUAGGUCUGUACUUUGCCACUCAUAUUGUAGUACUCAACUUUAGCAAUGAUGGAGCAGGAAAGUGUGCUGAACCUUCUAA
Long non-coding RNA from Triticum dicoccoides, 3186 nucleotides. RefSeq lists it as uncharacterized. The record is from RefSeq and is a predicted model, not a curated record. NCBI's taxonomy places the organism in Eukaryota, Viridiplantae, Streptophyta, Magnoliopsida, Poales, Poaceae. The transcript is spliced from 3 exons.